GGCCUGCGCCGGCGCCAUCCCUCAUCUACGCAAAGCGUGCGACGCUCAGGCCUGUGCCUGCGUCAUCCCUCAUCUGCCUAAAGCCCUGCGCGCAGGCCUGUGCUUGCGCCAUCCCUCAUCUGCAUAAAGCGUAGGGCGCGCAGGCCAGUGUGUUGGAAAACAACGCUUUGAUGUUGUCUCCUGGAUUUUCACAGCCUCCCUCUCACAGGAGAACAGGGGUGGACCCCGGCCUCGAGCACAUCUGAGCUCUCUCUCUCCUGCCUGUGCUCCUGUUGAAGACAUUCAGCCUCCGACUGCCCUCGGGAGGAUGGAGAUGCCCAGGUGCCGAGGCCAGAGCCCAUGCGCAAAGCGAGGGCUGAGACCACGGAGGCCCCUUGUCUCCUCCAGCGGGUUCCUGAAGCCACGUCCCUGCUUGUGGAGGAAGAAAGCCGAACUGCAGCUCAGGGAGAGGUGGGCUUGCUGGCCUCGCUGGCGGCAUCCGAAUGCCUGGAGCCUCAUGGUGGGUUCUGCUAUUGCUGCCAGCAGCUGGAUGUUUCGAAAUUCGCCCGCUUUGGAAUGAUACAGUGAGACCUUGGCGGCCGCGCUGCCUGAGACGAUGCUCUUACGUCUGCAGGGGAGGUUUCAAGGCCUGCUGGAGUCAGCGGCUGCCUUGCCGCCCUGGGAGGGGCUGUGGCAGGUGAAAAAGAAGGAGUCAGCUGUCAACCUGCAAGUCAACAGCGGCCUCUCCAUACAGGGGAUCUUCCAUUCCUGCCUUUGAGCUUGGUAAGUCGUUCACUUCCCACACAGACCCCAGCACCUCUGCUCGCCACCCCCUACAUGCCCCCUGACCCUGAUCACACCCACCAGCCUCUGCCACAUUUAGAGUUAGAUGUCUCUCCCUGUCUCUAUCUCUAUUUCUUACUGUCCCUGUCUCUCUCUGUGUCUCUCCCUGUCUGUCUCCUGCCUCUCUGUCUCUCCCCACCUCUCUCUGUCCCUGUCUCUCUCUGUAUCUCCCUGUCUCUCUGUCCUUCCCUACCUGCCUCUCCCUGUCCAUCUCUCUCUCUGUAUCUUAUUAUCUCACUCUGUCUCUCUGUCUUUCCUGUCGUCUCUGUCUCUCCCUAUCUCUGUCUCUCCCUGCCUGUCUCUGUCUCUCUCCCUGUCUGUUUCUCUCAGGUGCACACAUGCUGCACACACACACACGGGAUCACUCGGGAGCUGUUCGCCUCCGUGGUGAGCGUGUCGUGAUGCAAAACCCUCUCUCGAGUGUGUUUUGCUGGUAGUGACUGUCAGGGUGCUUUUGGGGUGUGUGCUGAUUGCUGUGGUCACUCGAGGGCGGUGAUGGGAUGGGACCCUCGGCCGGCUCCAGCACCCACGCGGCCUCUUCCACCCAAGGCCGCCCCCACAACAGGGCUGUGAAGACGUGGCUGCACCCCCCAGUGCCCCUGACCUUGAGAGCAAAGUGAGAAGAGAAAGAAAAAGAGGAGCGAGAAGAUGACCUCCUAGGACCCCUGCCCCAGGGAAGCCCUGUUCCUCAGAUGCGCAUCACAGACCCCAGGGGCCUUUUCCUCUAGAAGGUGUCCACACAAACAGCCAUGGGGCCCUCUAAAGGUGGCUCCCUUCGCACAGGAGAACACUCAACCACACGGACCCACUGAGGACACACGUGUGCAGCGUGAGCAUUGCCAUCAGUGCUGCGUGACAGUCACCUCUUCUCCAGACCCUGCUUGGAGUCCCUGACCCGUCUCACCAUCACGUGAUCUCAAGUUUAUUGAAGGAAAUCAGAUGCAGCAGCAAACAUGCUUCUCAGGCUCAGAAACAAAACCCUCGCCACUGAGCUGAUGAGUGUCUCUGUGCUUCUGAACAGUGUGGACAAGGUUAAUGAAUGAGGCCCAGGCAGGCCUGUGGGCUCCUUCAAUCGGGGCAUCGAAAGCCUGGGAAGUUUUAACAGAGGCUGUUGAUGGGCAUGUUUCAAAGCAAACAGCAUCAGGGCCCUGACAGGCCAAUGACAGCACCGUGCAGUGCCGGGGGGGGCCCGGGAGGCACAGCCACAGAGCCCAGCCCUGGGGACACGGGACCUGGGUGGGGGGGCAGAGCCACAGAGCCCAGCCCUGGGGACACGGGACCGAGGGGCCACAGCCACAGAGCCUAGCCUGCACUGGGGAUACAGGGCCCAGGGUGCACAGCCACAGAACCCAGCCUGCCCUGGGACAUGGGGCGGAGCCUGAGGGUGGCUGGGGUCAGGCAGCCCUGUCCUCGUCCCCAACACUCCACAUCCCCAGGGUAGCUGGAGACCCAAGCUGAUGACUCGGACGCAGGACAGGAAAGGACAUAAGUGACUGACAAGCUCCAGGCCUGUCCUGACAGGAUCAGAGGGGAGGCAGGAAGGGCCCUCCAUGGCAGGCAGGUGGGGCGCCUCUGCAGAAACCAUAGCAGGUUACAGAGAAGAAUCGAAAAGAGGCCAUGCGGCUGGGGGCAGAGGGGAGGGCCCCCAUGAGAUGAGGAGGCACUCAUCGCGGGAGAGCCAAUGGAGAGAGAUGAAGAUGCGGACGCUGCUCUGGCCAUAAAACCAGGUACGCAUCUCAGGGGUCUCAAGAUGCUUUCUUUAUUGUAGAUUUUAAAUCUCCAGGUGAAGGGUUGUCCAUGGAUCUUCCCCUGGGCACCUUCUAACGCAACAGACCGCUUGUCUGGUUCCCAAAUGUCACACUGCGUGGGGAUGAGAUGGAAUCCCACACAGUGCCUCAGGAAGAACUAGAAACUGCGAAACUCCCAAACAACCCGAUAACCACGCAGCUGCUGCAGCAAAGUAUGAACACAGCCAGGUGAAAGGCCCACUUCCUCCGGCUCCCCAGCCUGCACUGACACCCACUCCAAAGACAGCUCAGGCCUUCCUAGAAAAGGCAGGUCCUGACCUAGGCUAACACUUGUAGGUAAAUUCUUGGAUAUGAACUACACGCCCUUCAACACUGAUAUUUCUAUAAAGAGAAGGUCAAAUAAAAAUAUAAGCAAUCUUGCAAAA
Homo sapiens (human) is the source of this 2995-nucleotide long non-coding RNA. RefSeq lists it as uncharacterized. NCBI's taxonomy places the organism in Eukaryota, Metazoa, Chordata, Mammalia, Primates, Hominidae. The record is from RefSeq and is a predicted model, not a curated record. The transcript has 2 exons.